RNAcentral lists this unclassified non-coding RNA (304 nucleotides) under Hevea brasiliensis (rubber tree). The record is from RNAcentral. Lineage: Eukaryota; Viridiplantae; Streptophyta; Magnoliopsida; Malpighiales; Euphorbiaceae.
UAGAAUUUGGCCUUCGGACAAGCUACAUAAAUAAAGUAGUAAGCCAGAAGCAAACAUCAGUAUCUUUCAAAACAAAUGAGAGAGAUGACGAAACUUUCAUCUUUCUUUAUCCUGAUGAGUAGCACAAAAACCAUGUCAUGCUACAAUUGAAAUGAGAAUGGAUGCUUCCACACAUAGUUUCUUAAGAACAUUCUUGUACAAAGAUGAGUGUUUUUGCAUUCUCAUAGAAAGAGAUAAUAUCAGAAAAAUGAAAUGGAAGUUGAAGAAUAAAGAUAGAGAACUUUUUUUGCAUAAAGAGUGCUAG